UUGGAGGGCAAGUCUGGUGCCAGCAGCCGCGGUAAUUCCAGCUCCAAUAGCGUAUAUUAAAGUUGUUGCAGUUAAAAAGCUCGUAGUUGAAUUUCGGGAUCAAUGUUUCGGUCAUGCCGUUGGUAUGUACUGAUAUUAUUGAUUUCUCACCUUCUAAAGAACCGUAAUGCCAUUAAUUUGGUGUCACGGGGAAUUAGGACUGUUACCUUGAAGAAAUUAGAGUGUUUAAAGCAGGCUCACGCUUGAAUACAUUAGCAUGGAAUAAUGAAGUAGGACAUCCGAUUCUAUUUUGUUGGUUUCUAGGAUCGAUGUAAUGAUUAAUAGGGAUAGUUGGGGGCAUUAGUAUUCAAUUGUCAGAGGUGAAAUUCUUGGAUUUAUUGAAGACUAACUACUGCGAAGGCAUUUGCCAAGGAUGUUUUCAUUAAUCAAGAACGAAAGUUAGGGGAUCGAAGACGAUCAGAUACCGUCGUAGUCUUAACCAUAAACUAUGCCGACUAGGGAACGGAUGAUGUUAAUUUUUUAAUGGCUCAUUCGGCGCCUUACGGGAAACCAAAGUGUUUGGGUUC
RNAcentral lists this ribosomal RNA (566 nucleotides) under uncultured Glomeromycotina. Its description in RNAcentral is "SSU rRNA". It matches the Rfam family "Eukaryotic small subunit ribosomal RNA", at positions 548 to 1114 of the family's 1831-position model. The record is from RNAcentral. Lineage: Eukaryota; Fungi; Glomeromycota.